UAGAGGAAGUAAAAGUCGUAACAAGGUUUCCGUAGGUGAACCUGCGGAAGGAUCAUUAAUGAAUAGGUCUUUUAGACCCAAUUCUAUCCCACACCUUUGUGAACUGUAUUGGUUACUUUGGCGGGGUCGCUGUUUUAUGCGCCCACUUUAGGGAAUCCCCGCCAAGGUCUUUGCAAACUUUAGUUUAAAAUGUUAGAAAGUUAUUUAUUAAAUCUAUACAACUUUUAGCAACGGAUCUCUUGGCUCUCGCAUCGAUGAAGAACGCAGCGAAAUGCGAUACGUAGUGUGAAUUGCAGAAUCCAGUGAACCAUCGAAUCUUUGAACGCAUAUUGCACCUAUUGGUAUUCCGAUAGGUAUGCCUAUUUGAGUGUUAUGAACUACUCAUCCAAAUCCUUUGGAUGGUCUUGAGCUUGCGUUGGCUAGCUCGAAAUUAAUAGGGUAAACGACUACCAUGUCUAUCGUCAUAUUUAUUUGCGAUAUAUUCAUUGGUUAUUAGUGACCCAUAAUAAUUUUUAAAUCUUAGCCUCAAAUUAGGUAGGAAUACCCGCUGAACUUAAGCAUAUCAAUAAGCGGAGGAAAAGAAAAUAACAAUGAUUCCCUUAGUAACGGCGAGUGAAGCGGGAAGAGCUCAAAUUUGAAAUCUGGCACCUUUGGUGUCCGAGUUGUAAUUUCUAGAGGUGUUUUCAGUGCUUAGCUAGGUAUAAAUCCUUUGGAACAG
The sequence is a ribosomal RNA, 718 nucleotides long. The stretch from base 220 to 373 matches the Rfam family "5.8S ribosomal RNA".